ACUUAAGUAGCUUAUAUUUAGAGCAUAAUAUUGAAGAUAUUAAGGAAAUAGUUAUAUUUUUAAGUA
Molecule: transfer RNA, 66 nt
Filed under: Glaresis sp. GLA01
Lineage: Eukaryota; Metazoa; Arthropoda; Insecta; Coleoptera; Glaresidae
Description: tRNA-Phe
Source: RNAcentral